GUCCAGGGUAGCCUAGUGGACAUGGCACCUGCCCGGUAAGCGGAACACUGUGGGUUCGGUUUCCCUCCCUGGACA
This 75-nucleotide transfer RNA is filed under the name Cordylochernes scorpioides. Its description in RNAcentral is "tRNA-Thr". Lineage: Eukaryota; Metazoa; Arthropoda; Arachnida; Pseudoscorpiones; Chernetidae. The record is from RNAcentral.